AUUAUUACUCUUUCUUUUCGUUACUGCCAACUUCCUCUUCCUCUUCGAGUUCAGGUUCGCUGUCACUAGCAUCUUCACCAGCUCCAGCUCCUCCAAGGUUACCAAAUUGACUGAAGUCCAUACCGCCCAUACCUCCAAGUGCGCUCAAAUCUGGCAUGCCACCUGCGCCAAAUGGACUAACUUCAGGUUGUGCUUCUUGCUCAUCCUCGUCAACCCAACGAUCAAAAUCCGUUCUGAGCCAGUGUAAUCGAAGUUUCUCUUUAGUAAGACGAGGCCAAAACUCUUCUUGUAAUUCCUUCUUGUAUAAGACGAAAAAGAUGUAGCGGCCGGUAACAGAGUACUUGCUUUUCUCGACAUCAAUGUCCUUAAAAAAGUCAAUUUGAACUGCGU
Non-coding RNA from Schizosaccharomyces pombe (fission yeast), 390 nucleotides. Lineage: Eukaryota; Fungi; Ascomycota; Schizosaccharomycetes; Schizosaccharomycetales; Schizosaccharomycetaceae. The record is from the annotation of a GenBank genome assembly.